AAUAGAUACCCGGGUAGUCCACGCCGUAAACGAUGGAUACUAGCUGUUGGGGGGCGACCUCAGGUGGCUAAGCGAAAGUGAUAAGUAUCCCACCUGGGGAGUACGUUCGCAAGAAUGAAACUCAAAGGAAUUGACGGGGGCCCGCACAAGCGGUGGAGCAUGUGGUUUAAUUCGAUGAUACGCGAGGAACCUUACCAAGGCUUAAAUGCAGACUGACCGUUUUGGAAACAGAACUUUCGCAAGACAGUCUACAAGGUGCUGCAUGGUUGUCGUCAGCUCGUGCCGUGAGGUGUCAGGUUAAGUCCUAUAACGAGCGCAACCCCUGUUGUUAGUUGCCAGCGAGUAGUGUCGGGAACUCUAACAAGACUGCCAGUGCAAACUGUGAGGAAGGUGGGGAUGACGUCAAAUCAUCACGGCCCUUACGCCUUGGGCUACACACGUGCUACAAUGGCCGGUACAGAGAGCAGCCACCUCGCGAGGGGGGAGCGAAUCUACAAAGCCGGUCACAGUUCGGAUCAGAGUCUGCAACUCG
RNAcentral lists this ribosomal RNA (532 nucleotides) under uncultured bacterium. RNAcentral describes it as "bacterial SSU rRNA". It matches the Rfam family "Bacterial small subunit ribosomal RNA", at positions 777 to 1314 of the family's 1533-position model. The record is from RNAcentral.